Cavia porcellus (domestic guinea pig) is the source of this 2160-nucleotide long non-coding RNA. RefSeq lists it as uncharacterized. The record is from RefSeq and is a predicted model, not a curated record. NCBI's taxonomy places the organism in Eukaryota, Metazoa, Chordata, Mammalia, Rodentia, Caviidae. The transcript is spliced from 2 exons.
ACCACUAGUUGUAUAUGAAUGACUGUCCCACUGGUGGUUCAGAGCGGCCUACCAGCAAGACAUACAAAUUAUGACCCCACUGUGAACAUGUUAAGAAAACUGCAGCUCUGGACAUAAAGUUACCUAAGGUUACAAUGCUUUCUCUCUUUUUUCAGGAAACUUACUCCAAGAAUUUCUAAGGGUCUUAGAAGUAUAAUAAGACUGUAAAUUAGGCCUGUGUUUUUUACCUGGAAAGUGAGCCUGUGUUUCCCCGCAUACUACAGAUUCACAAAUGCUAAAGACUGCCAUCUUCAAGGAAUCAGCUACAGAGGAAAUAUACACGGGAGAUCUUGGAGAUGCACAUUAUUUUAGGACAUCAUGCAUCACUCAGUGUAUAGCCCCAAAAUGUCACCAUAGCGUAUAUUUUACAAAACUGGAACUGAUUCAAAACAGAAAUUUUUUUCUUUAAUCAAUGUUGAUUUUUCUAAUUCAGGGCCUGUCCUCAGUGUACAUUAAAGAGUGUAAAGACAUGGUCUCAAAUUUGACUUGUUUGAAACAAUAAGAGAAAAUGAACAAAGAUUCUAUCUGGCAAUCUGUAGCUCUUCUCUUUCCCCUUCUAACUCUUUUAUCAGUUUAAUUCUGUAACGUUAGACUAACUAUAGAGUGCUAUAAAAAUUGUUAUGAUUUAUGAAUUGGUACAGCCAAGGAAGCAUUCUGACUACUUUACUUGUAAUUUAAACUACAAAAAAAUGAACUAUUACAUUCCAAAUGACCAAUGCAUCUAGAAGUGCACUUUGACUUAAUGCAAUUGUUUUAUGUGUCACAUAAGUUCGUUUCUGGGUUUUUUGAUUUUUUUUUUUUUUUUUUGGUCUUUCUUCUAAGUGUUUUUUGUAAUAACUGGCUAAAGUGUCUACACUGCUCCAUUUACUACAUUGUUUUAAAACUCAACUGAUUUUGGUUUUUUCCUUUUAAAAAUAUUUAUAGACAGCUGGCUUAAUGCUUCGAUUUCUUACUAAACAAAACAAAAACAAUUAUACAGAUAUUCAAGAGCUAACAAAUCUGCUUGGGAUUAAGAAAACAAGAAAAUUCAACAGAGGUCUCUUUAAAACCUAGUCACUGUUACAGGAUUAUUGGAUUCCACUUGCAAAUAAAAUCUAUAAAAUUUGGUAAUAUCAGGGUUAUAUACAUAUGAUAUUGGUUAAUGUACAGAUUGUUCUGUUUACUAACCUUUAAAAAAUUAUUUAAAAAAUGAGAAAAGGAAAGAAUGGAAACAAAGCUUUUGUAAAUAGAGAGGGAAAGAGGCAUUGGGGGGGGGGGAAGCAAGAUAUAUCACGCACAGGUACAAAUUCCCUAUGUUGAAUGUGAUCAUUACAUGUACAUAAUAUGUAUCAAUAAAUUUAAAAAUAAACAGAUUCUGCUAAAAUCCCAAAAAUUCACUUUAAAUUGGCUUACAGAUAAUUAACCCAAAUGCCUUCUAUUCACAUGACCUAAAUAAAUCUUUAGCAAACAAAUUAAAUUAAAUUGGUUGAUAAAAGUAAAUAUUAUCUUUAAAACUGUUAACACAGCCAAUUGUGAUGGCACCUGUUUGUAAUCCCAGCAUUUGGGAAGCAGAGGCAGACUGCCUCAAGCUUAAGGCCAGUCUGGGUUGCAUAGUGAGUUCAAGGCCAGUCUGAAAUACACAGCGAGACACUGUCGCUAAAAGAAAAAGAAAAUGAAAGAAAGAAAGAAAAGAAUACUCUUAGUUUCUUGAGAUCUAUAAAAUACACUAUACUAUAUCUGGGUUUUCAGAGUUAUUAAUAAUGUAAAAUGGAAAGGCUUAAGAUUAUAUUCUUCAUAAGGUUAUCGAGUUAAAUGUAUAAUACUACAUAAAAGAUUAUUGCAUACUACUAAGUUGGUUAUAAUUAAAAGUUUAAAGAGUUCUUUAUGUUUAAAGCAAUAAGGUUUCCUACUAAAAAUAUUGAUGUGCUCAUCAAUGUGUUCUUGCUAAAAAUUUACAACUACCUCAGGAAAGAAAGGUUUUACUUUUUAUCAAGAUAAUUUCUUACGUUUUCUGCUGUUAGGAUUUUAAUUUUUUAUGAAAUUGAGUUUAAGAGAGUCAAAUGUCAUUCAGGUGUUUCUUUUUUGUAAAGUCUUAAGUGAUCAAUUUAUAACUGGUCAAAUAAACAAUUCUUUUAGAUUACA